Molecule: ribosomal RNA, 429 nt
Filed under: Pseudomonadota bacterium
Lineage: Bacteria; Pseudomonadati; Pseudomonadota
Description: Proteobacteria bacterium partial 16S ribosomal RNA
Rfam family: Bacterial small subunit ribosomal RNA
Source: RNAcentral
UGGGGAAUAUUGGACAAUGGGCGAAAGCCUGAUCCAGCCAUGCCGCGUGUGUGAAGAAGGUCUUCGGAUCGUAAAGCACUUUAAGUUGGGAGGAAGGGCAGUAAGCGAAUACCUUGCUGUUUUGACGUUACCGACAGAAUAAGCACCGGCUAACUCUGUGCCAGCAGCCGCGGUAAUACAGAGGGUGCAAGCGUUAAUCGGAAUUACUGAGCGUAAAGCGCGCGUAGGUGGUUCGUUAAGUUGAAUGUGAAAGCCCCGGGCUCAACCUGGGAGCUGCAUCCACAUCUGGCGAGCUAGAGUAGGGCAGAGAGUGGUGGAAUUUCCUGUGUAGCGGUGAAAUGCGUAGAUAUAGGAAGGAACACCAGUGGCGAAGGCGACCACCUGGGCUCAUACUGACUCUGAGGUGCGAAAGCGUGGGGAGCAAACAGG